RNAcentral lists this ribosomal RNA (307 nucleotides) under uncultured eukaryote. Its description in RNAcentral is "partial 18S ribosomal RNA". It matches the Rfam family "Eukaryotic small subunit ribosomal RNA", at positions 1470 to 1796 of the family's 1831-position model. The record is from RNAcentral.
CCCUUAGACGUUCUGGGCCGCACGCGCGCUACACUGACGAAGGCAACGAGCUGCUCUUCACCGAAAGGUGUGGGUAAUCUUUUGAAACUUCGUCGUGCUGGGGAUAGAUCCUUGCAAUUUUUGAUCUUAAACGAGGAAUUCCUAGUAAGCGCAAGUCAUCAACUUGCGUUGAUUACGUCCCUGCCCUUUGUACACACCGCCCGUCGCUACUACCGAUUGAAUGGUUUAGUGAGGCCUUCGGAUCCGCGAUUUUAUUGUGGAGAAGUUGGACAAACUCAGUCAUUUAGAGGAAGUAAAAGUCGUAACA